GACGAACGCUAGCGGCGUGCCUAAUGUAUGCAAGUCGAACGGCCCGCAAGGGUAGUGGCGAACGGUUGAGUAACACGUAGACAACCUGCCUCCAGGUGGGGGAUAACAGCUCGAAAGGGCUGCUAAUACCGCAUAUGGCGCCCCGUGGCAUCACGGGAGGGCUAAAGGAGCAAUUCGCCUGGAGAUGGGUCUGCGGCCUAUCAGCUAGUUGGUGGGGUAACGGCCUACCAAGGCGACGACGGGUAGCUGGUCUGAGAGGAUGAUCAGCCAGACGGGGACUGAGACACGGCCCCGACUCCUUCGGGAGGCAGCAAUGAGGGAUAUUGCACAAUGGGGGAAACCCUGAUGCAGCGACGCCGCGUGGGUGAGGAAGUCCUGG
This 379-nucleotide ribosomal RNA is filed under the name uncultured bacterium. Its description in RNAcentral is "bacterial SSU rRNA". It matches the Rfam family "Bacterial small subunit ribosomal RNA", at positions 28 to 419 of the family's 1533-position model. The record is from RNAcentral.